CCUACGGGAGGCAGCAGUGGGGAAUAUUGGGCAAUGGGCGCAAGCCUGACCCAGCAACGCCGCGUGAAGGAAGAAGGCUUUCGGGUUGUAAACUUCUUUUGUCAGGGACGAAGCAAGUGACGGUACCUGACGAAUAAGCCACGGCUAACUACGUGCCAGAAGCCGCGGUAAUACGUAGGUGGCAAGCGUUAUCCGGAUUUACUGGGUGUAAAGGGCGUGGAGGCGGGACUGCAAGUCAGAUGUGAAAACCACGGGCUAAACCUGUGGCCUGCAUUUGAAACUGUAGUUCUUGAGUACUGGGGAGGCAGACGGAAUUCCUGGUGUAGCGGUGAAAUGCGUAGAUAUUAGGAGGAACACCAGUGGCGAAGGCGGUCUGCUGGACAGCAACUGACGCUGAGGCGCGAAAGCGUGGGGAGCAAACAGGAUUAGAUACCCUUGUAGUC
This 443-nucleotide ribosomal RNA is filed under the name uncultured bacterium. RNAcentral's name for it is "partial 16S ribosomal RNA". It matches the Rfam family "Bacterial small subunit ribosomal RNA", at positions 338 to 795 of the family's 1533-position model. The record is from RNAcentral.